AACUGCCAUAACGGCCAUAACAGAAGCGCUCAUGUCACGGCCCUGUCAGAUUCCAGUGGAUCUAAGAAUUCUGCU
RNAcentral lists this ribozyme (75 nucleotides) under Crocodylus porosus (Australian saltwater crocodile). RNAcentral describes it as "Mammalian CPEB3 ribozyme (ENSCPRG00005005770.1)". It matches the Rfam family "Mammalian CPEB3 ribozyme". From Rfam's summary of the family: The mammalian CPEB3 ribozyme is a self cleaving RNA located in the second intron of the CPEB3 gene which belongs to a family of genes regulating messenger RNA polyadenylation. This ribozyme is highly conserved and found only in mammals. The record is from Rfam by way of RNAcentral. Lineage: Eukaryota; Metazoa; Chordata; Crocodylia; Crocodylidae.